AAAACUCAAGAAAAGCGUGACACGUUAUUAAAAUCAGAUGUUAGAAAGUUUGAAAUUUAGAAAUUUUAUGUUGAUAAAAUCGGGAGAUAAUAAAGUACUAUUUACUUGAGUUCAACCAGUACCUUACUAAAUAAUAGAUUAAAAUGUACAAAAUGCUUAGAGUGGAGCAAAAUGAAGUUUUAUAUUCAAGAUUUAUGAGGCAGUUGUAGCAAGUUCAUAAGUUCCCUGAUGUAUAAACUGAUGUACCACAGAAGUUGUUUCUACGAAGAUACUGGUGAAAAUUGACUGACCCAUGGGAGUUGUUCUUUUUUGUUGCGCGCUGUGUUAUUCCUUAAUAUUCUUUACUUACAUGGAACUACAACAUACAAUAUACUGCGACGUUAAUUCACUUGAGCGUGUGUUGUAUCAUGAAGUUCCCGGGUAAGUGGUCUGACAUUCCUCACAGUCAUCCCAAAAAGGCACUAUCGCCCUUUCCACCCGUAUAGUUAGACCUAAAAGUGCUGCAGCCUGUAUUUCAUACCUCACCAUUAUUUGACUGCAAGUCUGUUUUGUCAUAGUUAAGUCAAAACUUUUAAGUUUAAGUAUUCUAUACCUUGUCUGUACUUUUAACUGAAAUUACUGCCUAAGCAGUCUUC
This 635-nucleotide unclassified non-coding RNA is filed under the name Bombus terrestris (buff-tailed bumblebee). RNAcentral describes it as "misc RNA ENSBTSG00005038955.1". Lineage: Eukaryota; Metazoa; Arthropoda; Insecta; Hymenoptera; Apidae. The record is from RNAcentral.